CUCAGCUCAGUGCAACCUCCGCCUGCUGGAUUCAAGCGAUUCUCGUGCCUUAGCUUCCUGAGUUUCUGGGAGUACAAAUGCGUGCCACCACACCAAGCUAAUUCUGUGUAUGUAUUUGUAUUUUUUUUAGUACAGAUGGGGUUUUACCAUGUUGGCCAGGCUGGUCUUGAACUCCCAACCUCAGGUGAUCCACCUGUCUCGGCCUCCCAAACUGCUGGGAUUACAGGCAUGAACCACUGCACCUGGCUGACCCUUUGUUUUUCUUAUCACAUCUGACACUUUACUCAUAUAUUUUUUCUUGGGCUUCAGAAUGACGGAUAAACUUUAUUGACUCAUGCAUGGCACUACUUGUGUAUUUAAUUAGCUAGUUGUGUGUUUGUUUUUGAUAGAUAGCUGUAAACUCACCAUUCAACAUAGAAACUAGAAGCAUAAAUCAUAUAUUAUGUGUGUGCACACGUAUACAUAUACACUAUAUAUGUGUAUAGAUAUAAUUUUAAAAUUAAAAUAUAAAUAAUUUUUUUCCAUCACUCCAGACU
RNAcentral lists this long non-coding RNA (536 nucleotides) under Homo sapiens (human). Its description in RNAcentral is "long non-coding RNA NONHSAT183447.1". Lineage: Eukaryota; Metazoa; Chordata; Mammalia; Primates; Hominidae. The record is from RNAcentral.